This 254-nucleotide ribosomal RNA is filed under the name uncultured bacterium. Its description in RNAcentral is "partial 16S ribosomal RNA". It matches the Rfam family "Bacterial small subunit ribosomal RNA", at positions 524 to 776 of the family's 1533-position model. The record is from RNAcentral.
AACGUAGGAGGCGAGCGUUAUCCGGAUUCAUUGGGCGUAAAGCGUGCGUAGGCGGUUGGGUAAGUCGGACGUUAAAGCCCCUGGCUCAACUAGGGGAGGUCGUUCGAUACUGCUUGGCUCGAGGAUGAGAGAGGAAAGCGGAAUUCCCGGUGUAGCGGUGGAAUGCGUAGAGAUCGGGAGGAACACCAGUGGCGAAAGCGGCUUUCUGGCUCAUUACUGACGCUGAGUGCACGAAAGCGUGGGGAGCAAACGGG